RNAcentral lists this unclassified non-coding RNA (212 nucleotides) under soil metagenome. RNAcentral describes it as "partial contains 5.8S ribosomal RNA, internal transcribed spacer 2, and large subunit ribosomal RNA". The record is from RNAcentral.
AACGAGGCCGACCUGCGGCUGAGUUACCUGCGGAGGGAUCAUUAUCAAAAGUCGGUCGGGAGCCCUUGUGGCUGCCGUCUACACCCAAGUCUUUUGUGUACUCUUUGUUUCCUCGGCGGCGUAAGUCGCCGAAUGGACAAACCAAAACCUUUUUGUAAUUGCAAUCAGCGUCAUUAAAUAUAAUAAUAUUUACAACUUUUAACAACGGAUCU